This is a long non-coding RNA of Cervus elaphus (red deer), 291 nucleotides long. RefSeq lists it as uncharacterized. NCBI's taxonomy places the organism in Eukaryota, Metazoa, Chordata, Mammalia, Artiodactyla, Cervidae. The transcript has 2 exons. The record is from RefSeq and is a predicted model, not a curated record.
CAGCUUACAGCUGUCCUGGGCGGCACAGAGCGUGGUGAAAGGCGGAUCGUGGCCUUCUUCCUCGGGCCCUCCCGGCCUUCCAGCCUCGGGGUGGUGGGAACAUCCUGACUUGACCAUGGGCUGACCUCAAGAACAAAGGCUCUGACACCAUGAAGUCUGCAACAACUACCUGCCCCCCUGCCAUUCCUAGAAAAGGGCUUUGCUGAAAAGUUUUGGGGAGUUCAGGGUUUUUAAGGCAUGAGCCUCCUCCCUCCUUGCAGGGCCCUGCAAUAAACCUUUCUCUGCUCCAGA